Molecule: small nuclear RNA, 150 nt
Filed under: Dromaius novaehollandiae (emu)
Lineage: Eukaryota; Metazoa; Chordata; Aves; Casuariiformes; Dromaiidae
Description: U1 spliceosomal RNA (ENSDNVG00000012768.1)
Source: RNAcentral
AUCUGCAUGUGACAAGAAGACACCCUCAUCUGAAGGGCAGUUUUUCCAAGGUGAGGCUCAUCCAUUGCUCUUGGAUGGUCUCAUCCUGGCUGAGCAAAACUUGGCUGCAUAAUUUAUAGUGGUUGAGGACUAUAUUUGAGCUAUCCUUUG